UACGGGGGGGGCAAGCGUUGUUCGGAAUUACUGGGCGUAAAGGGCUCGUAGGCGGCCAACUAAGUCGGAUGUGAAAUCCCCAGGCUUAACCUGGGAACUGCAUCCGAUACUGGAUGGCUUGAAUCCGGGAGAGGGAUGCAGAAUUCCAGGUGUAGCGGUGAAAUGCGCAGAUAUCGGGAGGAACACCGGCGGCGAAGGCGGCACUCUGGGCCGGUACUGACGCUGAGGAGCGAAAGCGUGGGGAGCAAACAGG
RNAcentral lists this ribosomal RNA (253 nucleotides) under uncultured bacterium. Its description in RNAcentral is "partial 16S ribosomal RNA". It matches the Rfam family "Bacterial small subunit ribosomal RNA", at positions 524 to 776 of the family's 1533-position model. The record is from RNAcentral.